GAUGAACGCUGGCGGCGUGCCUAAUACAUGCAAGUCGAGCGAACAGACGAGGAGCUUGCUCCUCUGACGUUAGCGGCGGACGGGUGAGUAACACGUGGAUAACCUACCUAUAAGACUGGGAUAACUUCGGGAAACCAGAGCUAAUACCGGAUAAUAUAUUGAACCGCAUGGUUCAAUAGUGAAUGACGGUUUUGCUGUCACUUAUAGAUGGAUCCGCGCCGCAUUAGCUAGUUGGUAAGGUAACGGCUUACCAAGGCGACGAUGCGUAGCCGACCUGAGAGGGUGAUCGGCCACACUGGAACUGAGACACGGUCCAGACUCCUACGGGAGGCAGCAGUAGGGAAUCUUCCGCAAUGGGCGAAAGCCUGACGGAGCAACGCCGCGUGAGUGAUGAAGGUCUUCGGAUCGUAAAACUCUGUUAUUAGGGAAGAACAAAUGUGUAAGUAACUAUGCACGUAUUGACGGUACCUAAUCAGAAAGCCACGGCUAACUACGUG
This 497-nucleotide ribosomal RNA is filed under the name uncultured bacterium. Its description in RNAcentral is "partial 16S ribosomal RNA". It matches the Rfam family "Bacterial small subunit ribosomal RNA", at positions 28 to 507 of the family's 1533-position model. The record is from RNAcentral.